Molecule: long non-coding RNA, 1084 nt
Organism: Spea bombifrons (plains spadefoot toad)
Lineage: Eukaryota; Metazoa; Chordata; Amphibia; Anura; Pelobatidae
Exons: 3
Source: RefSeq, a predicted model, not a curated record
GGGGGAUAAUACGUUUUUAGUUUUGCUAAAGUGGUAGAUUUAUUAGGUAUUUGUCUUUGAUUUUGGAAGCAUUUUUAUAUUUUUUUUUUUUCUGUGGGAUUAAAAUUGGAUCAUGUACAUCCACUUUAAAAAUAAAUAAAUGCGUAUUUUUACUAUAAAUCUAUGGAUCUGCACUAAGAAACUUCCCUCCAACCCUAGGUGUGGGGGAAAAAAUGUCCCAUUUACCCAUUGUACAGCGCUGCUGAAUAUGAUGGCGCUAUAUAAAGCAAAUAAUACAUCAGCCUCUUUCUAUACAUAUUAUUUGGGUUUGUAGAUGCGUUGCUAUCUGCGAGCACAUUCUUUAAUAAUAAAUUAUCUUUUUCAGCAUGUUCUUCAUCAAUUAUUAACUUUUAAGUGGAUUUAAUGUAUCCAACCUGGAAAUUCCCUAUUUGUACUUUCGAUUUCACGUUAUCUGCCUCCGGCUUAAAGGAAAGUAAAUUUUUUACCGACAGCGAACCUUAUCAAGCAGAUAUUGACCUUCUGAUUCUGGGCUUUUUAGGAUUCGAAAAAUAUUUUUAUGCUGAUGAUAAUAUUAAUUAACUAAAAUUUAGUUUAAUGGAUAAUUUAUUUCUUCCCUAUAUAGAAGUAUAAGCUGUAUCCAAAAGAAUGACUAAAGUACUUUUUGGUCAGUGGGCAGCCCUUUACCCUCUCCAGGCAGAUUGGGUGAAAAUUGAAAAAAAUAAAUGUUCUCGGGGAUUUCACAGCAGAAACCGUGUUAAUUUUUGUCCCUUUUUUAUGGUUAUUUACCGGAGCAAAGAUGCUUAUGAAAUCUCUACUCUCUUUCGGCCACCAGGGGCCACACUGUAACUGGUGUUCUCAUGUUAAGGGGAUAAGCCCUUGUUGCUUAUCAGGAGGUAUCGGCUGUGGGCUUUCUGUGUAUGAGCGUGGGAUCUCCUUUAAGGAAAUGCCUUUUUUCUGUUGGAAGAUGUCUUAUCCUUUAAUGGCUGUGCUUUCAAAAUGAUAUUUUAGGAGGUGACGUUAAACCCUUCAUUAUCCUGCUUCGGUGCUCCCACCUUUUGUUGCCUUAGCGCAGCCGGCGUGUAUA